UUCAUGGGGGAGAGGGCGCAGUUGGCAAACAAAUAUAGAAUAUGUGUGUCAUUUGCAUAAAAAUAUGAUACAGAGCUUAAAUGCUCUCAGUAAAGUACAAUGAGGCAAAAAAAAAGACCAGAUAAAGGAAUUCCUGGAGUGCUCGAGGUGUUUAGUUAGGUCACACUCCUUUAAGAAGACUUCAUAGAUGAUCUCAGUCCUUAAUUUUGACAAAAAAGAGAAAUAAUUUGGUGAGACUGAUGAUAAACGGGAAGAAAGUGGGCGACCGUGGUGUGAUAAAUUAUUUAGUAUGGCCUUUCUUGCCACGGUCUUGUAACUCCCACCCAGAUGAUUGGGCGGGGCUGUGAAAAUAAGAUAAUUGUGGCCCACCAAGGGGAUUGGUCAGUUUUGCCUUAAAAGAGGGCCAGAGCAGAAAGACAGCCCACUACCACAAAGGAACAAGAGACCAGCUAGAGAGACUCCAGGAGAAGGCACAGUGGACUUUCUCAGCCCACAGAGCGAGAAAGCUGCGUGCCUUUGGACUGAGACUGAGGGCCAGGGAGAAGCCUACGCCUGACCCACGAAUUUGGGACUUGCCAGCCUCCACAACUGUCCUGCUGAAGCCUCCACCCUGCUGCUUGACCUGCAGAUCUUGGAUUCUCCAGCCCCUGCAACUCCAUGAGCCAGCAGAGAUCUUCGGCCUGCUGCCAGACCCAUGGAUUUGGGACUUGCAAGCCCCCACAAUUGCAUGAGCCAUUUCCUUGAAGUAUUUUGAAGACCAAAAAAUAUCAGUCAUACCAGAGGCUGGUGUUGAAACGUAGAUGCUGCUGGUGUGAAGAAAGUGAACAUGGCAGAAAGCCAAGGGACCCAAGGUGAUUUAAAGAGGCCCAAGAAGAAAGGCAGACCAGAGCCUGGGAAAUGAAACACGUGAAGACCGAAGGAGUAUUCAAAUAGCAACUCUAUCAAGGGCUGUCUUCAACCCACAACUGGGAAAGGCUAUGUGGUACAAUCUGUUGUUUUUCAAAGUGGGGUUGUAUAUAUCUCUGAAGACAUCGACUGUGUGCAGGUGGUCUAGGAAGUCAUAGGGUAAGUAUGGGACAUCUUCUGGAAUGGCAGUUUUACUUUAGAGAGUGGGAGAAGGGGAGCCAAAUAAUUCUAAAAGAAUUAAUUGGCAAGUUAUAUAGACAGUAAUAUUGAAGCAAACAUGUAAUAUAUUAAAUUUGCACCAAUUUUAAGAUUAAAUGAGAUAUUUAAUAGAAAUGCCAUGUUUUCAGCAGGACAUGUUAGUUGCAGCAUCCCAUACCACCCAGGGUAGUUUUUUUCUGCUUUUAGAGCUACUUUGGGGGAAAGAGCAUGGUAGAGCAAAAUUAACACCAAGUUUCUGACUUUCUUACCGUCUACUGAUGUGAACCUGGACAAGUCCUACUCAAAAUCUCUCUGUAUAAAAUGGCCAAAACACUGCUACCAAACCAAUGUCACAAAGAUUUUUCUUAAAAAAAUCAAAUAAGAAAUUGUAGGUACAAGCCCUUGAUGAACUGUAAAAGAGGAAAAGAUUAAAAUUUUGAUAUUUAUUUAGCGGACAUUUAUUGAGCCCUUACUAUGUGACGAGACUUCACUAGGUACAAUUCUUCUCUUCAAGGAGCCUACUGGCUUGAAAGAAGAGCAGCUGCACAAAUCAAGCACAUCAACGCAGUAGAGAAGCCAAUGAUAGACAUUUGUGCUUUCAGCUGUGUUAUUUGAGGAAAGACCCACAGAUGUCAGCCAUAAUAUUGGACAUUGCAACUUAAGGGGAAAGAAGCAAACACCAAAACCAAACAUUUCUGAGAGAAAGAGAGAUUGUCCUGCCUAAGAAUUCAGUAAACAGCCCAAACAGACUAUUUAUAACAAAAUACCUGCCCUACCUGCUGAACCCUGCAUGGUAUAUUUCCUACCAUGACAGUCAUAAAACGAGGAAGCUUUAUGGGAGUUCACACUGCUAAAGAAGGAUAAUAACAUCAAAUGACUUCAGACUGUGGUGUUGACCCAGGAGAGGAUCAGCAUACGACACAGUUCAGAAGGAUACUUGAAAAAUCAUGGCAGUAACAGCCGCUACAUGAAAGGCAAGGAUGUUACUUAAUGUUUUUUGUAAGGGUAUGAUCUCUACUGUAUCCAAUCUCUAAUGACAGUAGACAGAAAAAAAAAAAAAAGUUGCCAUCGAGUCAAUUCUAAAGCCUUUCUUUUGAGGGACCUUUGAGUGGAUUCAAACUUCCAACCUUUCACUUAGCAAGCCAAG
Molecule: long non-coding RNA, 2251 nt
Organism: Loxodonta africana (African savanna elephant)
Lineage: Eukaryota; Metazoa; Chordata; Mammalia; Proboscidea; Elephantidae
Exons: 7
Source: RefSeq, a predicted model, not a curated record